CGGAGGGAUCAUUAAAGAGUUCUAUAACUCCCAAACCCAUGUGAACAUACCUAACGUUGCCUCGGCAGGUCGCACCUACCUUGUAGCACCCUACCCUGUAGGGCCUACCCGGGAGGUGCGGGUAAGCCUGCCGGCGGCCCACCAAACUCUGUUUGAUAUUGAAUUCUGAACCUAUAACUAAAUAAGUUAAAACUUUCAACAACGGAUCUCUUGGUUCUGGCAUCGAUGAAGAACGCAGCGAAAUGCGAUAAGUAAUGUGAAUUGCAGAAUUCAGUGAAUCAUCGAAUCUUUGAACGCAUAUUGCGCCCAUUAGUAUUCUAGUGGGCAGGACCGUUCGAGCGUCAUUUCAACCCUUAAGCCUUCGUUGCUUAGUGUUGGGAGCCUACGGCAACGUAGCUCCUCAAAGUUAGUGGCGGAGUUGGUUCACACUCUAGACGUAGUAAUUUUUUAUCUCGCCUAUUAGUUGAACUAAUACCCUGCCGUAAAACCCCCAAUUUAUCAAGGUUGACCUCGAAUCGGUUCAGACAAACUCGCUAAAUUGAAGCAUCUUAGUCAGCGAAGGAAAAGAAACCAACAGGGAUUGCCCUAGUAACGGCGAGUGAAGCGGCAACAGCUCAAAUUUGAAAU
RNAcentral lists this ribosomal RNA (627 nucleotides) under fungal endophyte. RNAcentral describes it as "eukaryotic LSU rRNA". The stretch from base 191 to 344 matches the Rfam family "5.8S ribosomal RNA". Lineage: Eukaryota; Fungi. The record is from RNAcentral.